GAAAGGCUGAAAUGCUCACUUGCAGUGCUCAGCUAAAGUCAUGGCCGAACUAGUGCUGCACUUCUAUGCGAUUCUCAUUCAGGAGAAGCCUGUGUGCUUCUAUGCGAUUCUCAUUGCUUAAUAACAGACUUCUUGCUAAGGAAAUGCAAGUGAAAUGGACAUACUAAAACUAAAAUUUUCUAUAUAACAAAGAUAUAUUGCCUGUAUACAUAUUCCUGCACAAAACAUGACACCCUUUUCUGUCCACAUUCACUGCGUACAGGGUAUAUAAAACAAAUCUUGAAGAGUCGUCAAACACUUGAUCAAUAGCGGCAAACUGUGUGUUGUUGUUGUUGUGCGUAUCUCACAGAUACAUUUUAUUAUGCGCGCCGAGUGUUUGCACAACUUAAAAGCCAAUAAAAUUUGUUGUUAAUUGCUUUGGUAAAUUGAAAAA
This is a long non-coding RNA of Drosophila novamexicana, 433 nucleotides long. RefSeq lists it as uncharacterized. NCBI's taxonomy places the organism in Eukaryota, Metazoa, Arthropoda, Insecta, Diptera, Drosophilidae. The transcript has 2 exons. The record is from RefSeq and is a predicted model, not a curated record.